UUGAAGGGCUGCAGUAUAUUGACUGUACAAAGGUAGCAUAAUCAUUAGUCAUUUAAUUGGUGACUUGUAUGAAAGAUUUGAUGAAAUAUAAUCUGUCUCUAAUUUAUAAAUAUAAUUUAAUUUUUUAAUUAAAAAGUUAAAAUAAUUUAAAAAGACGAGAAGACCCUAUAGAGUUUUAUAGAUAAAUUAAUUAAGGUUGUUUAAAUUAUUUAAAAUUAAAAUUAAAUUAUUUAUUUUAUUGGGGUGAUAGAAAAAUAUAUAUAACUUUUUUUUUAUAGUGACAUUUAUAGGUGGUUGGAUGAUCCAAUAAUAUUGAUUAUAAGAAUAAUUUACCUUAGGGAUAACAGCGUAAUUUUUUUUUUUAGUUCGUAUAAGAAAGAGAGUUUGCGACCUCGAUGUUGGAUUAAGAUAAAAUUUAAA
RNAcentral lists this ribosomal RNA (420 nucleotides) under Carelis agnae. Its description in RNAcentral is "partial 16S large subunit ribosomal RNA". The record is from RNAcentral. Lineage: Eukaryota; Metazoa; Arthropoda; Insecta; Lepidoptera; Noctuidae.